Molecule: non-coding RNA, 96 nt
Organism: Lentinula novae-zelandiae
Lineage: Eukaryota; Fungi; Basidiomycota; Agaricomycetes; Agaricales; Omphalotaceae
Source: the annotation of a GenBank genome assembly
ACACCGUUGGUGAAGUGGUUAUCAUGCUUGCCUUCCAUCCCAACCCAAGUAGUGGUAGUGGAGCAAGCGGCUCGGGUUCGAUUCCCGAACGGUGUA